AUUGAACGCUGGCGGCAGGCCUAACACAUGCAAGUCGAGCGGAUGAAGGGAGCUUGCUCCUGGAUUCAGCGGCGGACGGGUGAGUAAUGCCUAGGAAUCUGCCUGGUAGUGGGGGAUAACGUCCGGAAACGGGCGCUAAUACCGCAUACGUCCUGAGGGAGAAAGUGGGGGAUCUUCAGACCUCACGCUAUCAGAUGAGCCUAGGUCGGAUUAGCUAGUUGGUGGGGUAAAGGCCUACCAAGGCGACGAUCCGUAACUGGUCUGAGAGGAUGAUCAGUCACACUGGAACUGAGACACGGUCCAUACUCCUACGGGAGGCAGCAGUGGGGAAUAUUGGACAAUGGGCGAAAGCCUGAUCCAGCCAUGCCGCGUGUGUGAAGAAGGUCUUCGGAUUGUAGAGCACUUUAAGUUGGGAGGAAGGGCAGUAAGUUAAUACCUUGCUGUUUUGACGUUACCAACAGAAUAAGCACCGGCUAACUUCGUG
Molecule: ribosomal RNA, 484 nt
Filed under: uncultured bacterium
Lineage: Bacteria
Description: partial 16S ribosomal RNA
Rfam family: Bacterial small subunit ribosomal RNA
Source: RNAcentral